AUUGAACGCUGGCGGCAUGCUUUACACAUGCAAGUCGAACGGCAGCGCGGGCUUCGGCCUGGCGGCGAGUGGCGAACGGGUGAGUAAUGCAUCGGAACGUGCCCAGUAGUGGGGGAUAGCCCGGCGAAAGCCGGAUUAAUACCGCAUACGACCUGAGGGUGAAAGCGGGGGACCGAAAGGCCUCGCGCUAUUGGCGCGGCCGAUGGCGGAUUAGCUAGUUGGUGGGGUAAAGGCUUACCAAGGCGACGAUCCGUAGCUGGUCUGAGAGGACGACCUGCCACACUGGGACUGAGACACGGCCCAGACUCCUACGGGAGGCAGCAGUAGGGAAUUUUGGACAAUGGGCGCAACCCUGAUCCAGCCAUGCCGCGUGCGGGAAGAAGGCCUUCGGGUUGUAAACCGCUUUUGUUCGGGAAGAAAUCCUCUGGGCUAAUACCCCGGGGGGAUGACGGUACCGGAAGAAUAAGCACCGGCUAACUACGUG
RNAcentral lists this ribosomal RNA (484 nucleotides) under uncultured bacterium. RNAcentral's name for it is "partial 16S ribosomal RNA". It matches the Rfam family "Bacterial small subunit ribosomal RNA", at positions 28 to 507 of the family's 1533-position model. The record is from RNAcentral.